GCGACAGGUUCGGCUGCAGCAUGGGCCCCGAGAGGACGGGCAUGGGCUUGCCGAGGAACUUGGUGGCGAGGGCGUAGACGCGGUUGAGCUCGUCCUUGAGCCGCGCAUUCUCGAUGCACAGGUGCUGCUCCUCCAGGGACACCUCCCCGAGCAUGGCGGGGCUCCCGCAGCUGCCGCACAUCGGGCUGCGCAUCGCCUCCCGGAUCGCCAUGUUCUCGGCCCGCAGCUUGUCGUUCUCUUGCUUGAGAAGCGCGUUCUCGUGCCGCUCCAGUUGCGUCUUGGCAAGUGGAAUCACCGCGUGUCAGGAACCUGGAACUGAAAUCGGGGCGGGGGGGAAAGAGAAGAAAAAAAUACGGUCUGUCGACGACGAGACGGUGAUUCCGUCCGUCCGCUUACCUUCAUCUGCGUGCGGCGGUUCUGGAACCAGAACUUGACCUGGCGCGGGUCGAGGCCGAGCCUCUUGCUGAGCUCGCCGCGCUGCUUCUCGUCCGGGUGAGGGCACUCCUUGAACAGCCUACGCGAACGCAGCAGGGAUCCGUAUCCAUGCAUUAGAAGACAAGAGACGAAACGAUGCGAACGGCAUGGCACUAUGGAGGGCAGGAGGGGGGCGCGGGUGUGUGCGUGCGUGCGUGCUUACGCUUCGAGCUCCUGGAUCUGCUGCGGCGUGUGGCGGUGGUAGCGCUUCUUGCGCUUGCGCGGGUUGCCCGGCUCAGCGUCGUCCUCGUCCUCGGCGCCGGCGCCGGCGGACAUGGCGUCCAGGUGGUCGCUCCCGGAGCGGCUGUCGUUCUCGGCGUCGGCGGCGUCCCUCGCCAUCCCGCCGGCCGCGGGGGCGCCGCCCACGGGGAGCAUCCGGCCGACCAUGCCGCCGCCGGGGUUCUCCUGCGAGAGGUAUACGACGCCGCAUUUCAUUCUCGUUCGUCCGGGGAAAAGGAGGCGAAACAAACAAAAAACCAAAUCGCUUGGGAGGAGUAGAGCCGGCCGGCACACAGGCGCGUACCAGACCGAGGGAGAGGGCCGGCGAGGACGAGAACCCGGUCGAGAACGGGAACUGCAUCCCUCCUCCUCCUCCGCCGCCGCCGGACCCGCCGUCGAAUAGGCUCCCGAAGCUCAUGGCGCCGGCCGCGCGCCUGCCUGGCCUCGUCGCACGCUAGCAGGACAGCACCGGAGAUCCACGCGCGCAGCGUCUCCUCGGCGGAAUCCUAGCCGCGGCGCGUGUAGGGUAGUAGUGGUGAGACGAGAGGAACGAGGGGGGGAGGAGAAGGAGAACGGCGGGUCCAGCGGCCCCCGGCCCCCGCGCGCGCGUGAGUGUGUGACUGAGAUAUGGAGCUGCUGAGGUCCGCAAAAUCCCAAACCCUCCACGGCGGGCAGGGAGGGAGGGAGGGAGGGAUAGCGAGGCGGAUGAUGGAUUAAAGAAAGGAACGGGAGGAGGGUCAAAAUAGCAAGUGGGGGUGGAGGGGAGGUGAGGAGAGGAGACGACGAGACGGGCACAGGGAGUCGUCCAGCGAAGGAAGAGUCCCGUCGUGCGUGUGGUGUGGACGCAUGAAAAAGGCUGGGGGGGGCAAGGGAAGGAAGGGAAGGGAUGGGGUCGGUCGAGAGAGAGUGGAGACGGCGCUGACGCUCCCCUGUCCUCCCCGGUGUCGCUGCUGAUGAGAGAGAGAGAGGCGCUUGGGCCCUGGGGCUCGGGCACACAGGCAGGGAGCGCAGUCAAAGGGGGCGGGCCGCUUAUUUUGUUGCCUUGUUUGUCGUCACCGACUCCGUGCUGGAAGGAUGGGGUCGAGACUGUGGGGGGCCGUGUGAUCUGGAUCCGACGGGGGUUUGGUGCGGCGAUUCAAUGCCGACCCGACCCAUGCCAGCCAGCCAGCCGGGCGGGGGGACGGACGGGGACGGGGACGGGGGAAUGGAACGGAAGAACACAACACCACACCGGGCCGACGCCGAGGCCGAGGCCGUUGGGGCCGCUGACCCAGCGAGUGAAUGCUGCCGAGGUGGACGGACCGAGCUGUGCGGGGACCGGUGGGCCCACGCGCCUGGCAGAGGCGUUAUCACACGAAUAUUGAGGCGCUGCCUCCGUCGUUCCUUUGUUUGGUGAGAGGUACUACCGUCGGCGUCUUGGCUCCGCUGGAUGGACCGGACCGGACUUCUGCUGCUGGGCGGCGGCGGCGCCCGCUCACGCUCAGCAGGUCCGCCUCACGACCAGCUCGGCCUCCCUACUUCCUCUCGCUAACCACUACUCCUAAUACUACAAUGCUGGCUAUCAUUUUCCGCAUGGUUGGAUCGAAAAUGCAUGGGCGCCACAUCCACAUUUAUUCUCAUAAAUGCCCCGUCUAGGCAUUAGCGUCAAGCCAUCUCCCCUAGAACAUGGGUUUCUCAUCAGCAAGGCACACUUGGGUAUGUUCCAUGUACACCAUGCAUGCAUAUUCGAGUACUAACACCGUAUGGGUCAUGUGUGUGUGUGUGUGUUUUUAGCAAAUUAUUGUUUUAUGUGAUAGGUUAUACUCCGAUAUCCAAAUUCUUGCGGUGACUUCACAGUCGUCCUUCGCCAACUUUCUAAAAUGUUUAUGUGGUUAGUAUACUUAUGUAGAUAUAUGUGAGAGUAUCUGUUUUCUACUGUCUUUCGUAGAAUACCACUAAGCUUAUCUUUCUUUUUUCAAAAACAUCGACAUGUCGAAAGGAAAGUAAUGUCAUUACAAGUAAGUGCUCUGCCAGAAAAAUGAAAAAAAAAGACACGUACUAACAUGGAAUUGUGAUGCUUUCCUUCCUUAGAGCAUGUACGUGUCUAAGAGCUAAAUGCAAAAAAAAAAACACACGUCUCUUGUUUGUAGCCUCAAGAUAGAAGACGUAGUUGAUUAAUAUAUUGGUGAAAUAAAUGUAGUAAGAUAUAAUAGGUUUUAGACACACCACUGUAUCUACCUUAAUUGUGUCUUGUGCUUAGAGUUUAAAAAUCAAAUCUAUAUUACCACCACCAGCGAUAAAUGAAUGUCGUUCUGAACACUGGUAGGUGUCAGCAUACGACUUCGACGAAUGCAUUUUAUUCGAACAAAAAUAAUAACAGAUUCAUAGAGUUACAAAUUGCCAAGGGCAUUUAAUUUCCAAACAAAGUCUAAUGACGUUGUGUGGAUGUUAAUUACCAAUUCAAAUAUAUCUUUUUUAAAUGAUUGACGGAUAAACUUAUGAGCUCUGACUACAUGUUUUUUAAAAAAAUAUUGUACAUUUAUGUACAAUUUACUUAUUAGUCGGAACAACGGUAUAUCUGAUGAUAAACAUUAAAACAUGAUGUUCAACGCUCUGCCUACGUACCAUGAAUGCACACAACACAAUGUACACCCUGAUAGUUUGUUUCCCAACGUAAAUGUGCCGCAAUGAAAUGUCCCUAGAAGCUAUAGCAAUCGGUAUCGUUGCCUAACUUUUGUUAGGAUAUGUACAAGCAUGAGCUCUUGGAUCGAUAGGUACAGAGAUAACUAAGAGAGACUAUACGAUAGAGUUAUGAAUUUUUAGAUCAUAAAUACAGUUAAUACACAAUACAUAUAUAUAGUGUCGUGUAGUAGGGAUAGCAAUGAGAAAUUUCUCGUUGGGUUUUAGCUCCCAUCCUCGGGCCCGCGACGAAAAAAAAAUCCCGCAAAGAUCCCUACGAACGCUUGCGGGGACAUUUAUUCUCCACCAUCGUUCCCCGUUUAAAUUCUAAUUAUGAUGUACUUCAUAUGUUAUUAAUGCAAAACUUUGUCGCUUAUAUACAUUUUGAGAUGUAAGAAAUCAUUAUGUGUACAUUAAAAAACACAUUUAUAGAAUAAAUAAUAUAUUAACAACAUAAUUAUUUAUUUUUAUCAUUAACUAUUACAUGAAAAUGUCGUCGUCACAUGGUUUAACGGGUUACUCUUUGCGGAAGAAUUUUCUCUGUGUUAUAUCUCCGUGGGGAAGAAAUUUUCACAUUCACACCACCUAAUGAAGAAUACCCAGCGAGAAAUCGAAGAUCGGGUCUCAUCGCCAUCUCUAUCGUGUAGAGACAGACUCUUCACAAAGAGUCUAUCUUUUUAAUUUUUUACAUAAUCUUUAGAGUCUCUUAAUUAUGGGAUUGUACAUGCCCUUAUGCCUCAUUAGAUCGAUUUUCUAUAUAUAUGUCAGGGGUAGUACUAGAGCUUAAACUAAUCCCAUUGACAAUCUCAUAUCUAAUGGUGUCCACUCAACAUCCAUGAAUUAUCCCAAAAGAUCCAUCAUCGAGAAAGCGUACAUAUACAUACAAUUUCUGUGUUGUUUUCCUCUAAACAACUGCUACAUUUAAAGGGACUCAUAAAUUUCAAUCAAAUAGGUGUGUGGAUGGGAGUACCGAUCUGUCUAUAUCACGGACAACAAAAUAUGUUAUCCACACUGCGCUUUCAAAAAAAAACAAGUGUCAUGAUGACAAUCGUGUGGAUGCUCAACGAACUGAACGAUGUAUUUGUGUAUCGCGCGGUACGAGAAUAUAACAGAUUUUAUGUGAUCCACGGUCAGAACUCACGUGGAUUGAGGAGUAUUUAAACAAGAUCAGAGAGAUAUUACUGCCACGCUAGUAUAGAUGACAAGUAUUUUUUCAGUGACGGUUGAUAAGUAACAGGUGCCAGAAAUAUAAAAUAUAUUUGUGGACCCAUGUUAAGAAACUCAAGUGCAAAUGUACCAACAUAUCGGUGGUUUCACUACAAAACCAUUGUGUACUAUUUACAUGGACGGUUAUUUUAGGAUGCGUUUGGUUGCCGGAUAGCUGGAGACAGGUACGAUUGGAACGUCAUCUGACGUUUUCUUUUGUCCAAUUUUAAAGGACAACUGGAGACAACAUUGUGAUAGUCAUGUUCCAACUCCUGACCCUGAACUGAACAACCUUGUUGAAGGGAUCUGUCGGCGUUUCGAGACCGGGGGGUCCCUAAGCCGACGAGUGAAUGUCGCCGCGUGCCCCAGCCCAGAUGGGUCGACGCGAGGCCGAGCGCGAAGGGGGGAAGUGAGGUGGCCGGAGACGGGCGUGAGAGAGGUGGAAAUCCCGCGGCCUUCGUGUUCGUCCCGCGCCCAGGUCGGGUGCGCUUGCAGUAGGGGGUUACAAGCGUCCACGCGGGAGAGGGAAGCGAGCGACCCCAAGAGAGCGCCUGUCCCGUCCUCGUCCCCGCGCGGCCAACCCUCUCUAAGAGGGCCCUGGUCCUUCCUUUUAUAGGCAUAAGGAGAGGAUCCAGGUGUACAAUGGGGGUGUAGCAGAGUGCUACGUGUCUAGCGGGGGAGAGCUAGCGCCCUAAGUACAUGCCGAUGUGGCAGCCGGAGAGAUCUUGGCACCCAGCUGGUGUGAUGUCGUGGUCGUCGGAGGAGCGACGGAGCCUGGCGGAGGGACAGCUGUCGGAGCGGUUGAGUCCUUGCUGACGUCCUCCUGCUUCCGUAAGAGAGCUGAGAGCCGCCGUCGUCACAGAGCUUGCAGGGCGCCAUCAUUGCCUAUCUGGCGGAGCUAGCCAAAUGGGACACCGGUCUUGUUCUCUGCGGCCCGAGUCAGCUCGGGGUAGGGUGAUGAUGGCGCUUCCUGUUGACGUGGCUGGCUUGCGCCCUAGGUUGGGCGACGUGGAGGCUCCUCCGAAGCCGAGGUCGAGUCUGUCUUCCGUGGCCGAGGCCGAGUCCGAGCCCCUGGGUCGGGCGAGGCGGAGGUCGUUCGGCGGAGGCCAGGGCGGAGUCCGAGCCCUGGGGUCGGGCGAAGCGGAGUUCGUCGUCUUCUGGGGCUGAGCCCGAGUCCGAGCCCUGGGGUCGGACGGAGCGGAGUUCGCCGUCUUCCGGGACCUAGCCCGAGUCCGAGCCCUGGGGUCGGGCGGAGCGGAGUUCGUCGUCUUCCGGGACUUAGCCUGAGUCCGAGCCCUGGGUCGGGCGGAGCGGAGUUCGCCGUCUUUCGGGACUUAGGCCGAGUCCGAGCCCUGGGUCGGGCGGAGCGGAGUUCGCCGUCUUCCGGGACUUAGCCCGAGUCCGAGCCCUGGGUCGGGCGGAGCGGAGCUUCCUAUGGUGCCUUUGGCAGGGCCUGACUGCCUGUCAGUCUCACUCUGUCAAGUGGCACUUCAGUCGGAGUGGCGCAGGCGGCGCUAUCCUUUUGUCAGGCCGGUCAUUGGAGCGGUGAAGUGACGGCGGUCACUUCGGCUCUGCCGGGGGGCGCGUGUCAGGAUAAAGGUGUCAGGCCACCUUUGCGUUAAAUGCUCCUGCGAUUCGGUCGGUCGGUGCGGCGAUUUAGUCAGGGUUGCUUCUUAGCGAAGGCAGGGCCUCGGGCGAGCCGGAGACGUGUCCGCCGUUGGAGGGGGGCCUCGGGCGAGACGGAAAUCCUCCGGGGUCGGCUGCCCUUGUCCGAGGCUAGGCUCGGGUGAGGCAUGAUCGAGUCGCUCGAAUGGACUGAUCCCUGACUUAAUCGCACCCAUCAGACCUUUGCAGCUUUAUGCUGAUGGGGGUUACCAGCUAAGAAUUAGGAGUCUUGAGGGUACCCCUAAUUAUGGUCCCCGACAGUAGCCCCCGAGCCUCGAAGGGAGUGUUAGCACUCGCUUGGAGGCUUUCGUCGCACUUUUUUGCAAGGGGACCAGCCUUUCUCGGUUGCAUUUUGUUCCGGCGGGUGCGCGCGAGCGCACCCGCCGGGUGUAGCCCCCGAGGCCUCGGAGGAGUGGUUUCACUCCUUCGAGGUCUUAAUGCCUUGUGUAAUGCUUCGGCCGGCCUGGUUGUUCCCUCAUGUGAACUGGCCGUAGCCCGGGUGUACGGUCGGGGCCCAAGUUCUCGGGCUGGUAUGUUGACGCUGUCAACGGUUUCGCCGGAGCCGGGUUUGCGAGAGCAGCCCCCGAGCCUCCGCACAGGGCGAGAGGGCGAUCAGGGACAGACUCGGCUUUUUUAUAUACGCCCCUGCGUCGCCUUUCCGCAAGGAGGAGGGGGGGAAAGCACCAUGUUACCCUCGAUGGGCGCCGAACAUGGUGUUUCCGGUGAGCUGCAAGCGGGUAAUCCGAGUGGACGUCCGUGCCCCGUUCGUUAGGGGUCGGCUAGGGGCCCAGAGGCACGCCCAAAAGUACAUGCGGGUGAUCUGCCGGACCCGGUCCCCUGGCGACGGGGUCCGAGGGCUCGAUGCCUCCCUCCGAUGGGAUUCCGUUACAAGAUCGCUCCCGCUGGUCUCGGAAAUGUCCUAGGGUACCUCGGGAGCGCAGCCCGAGCCUUGGUUAUGUAUCGAACGUACCCCUGGUCAUCCCUCGCUCGGCGUCUGAGGCGGCUGUGAACCCUUCGGGGGCCAGCCUUCGAACCCCUGAUCAGUAAUGGGCGCGGAGCCCGAGUAGCCUGAGGCGGCCGUGGAACCCUUCGGGGGGCCGGCCUUCGAACCUCUGACCAGUAGUGGGUGUAGGGCCCACGCGAUCUGAGGCGGCUAUUGAAACCCUUCGGGGGGCCAGCCUUCGAACCUCUGAUCAGUAAGGACGCUCGGAGCCUGGUUCCUUCACGGGGAAGGAUCCUUUUCGGGGUAUCCCCCUUUCCUGGUCCCUGUUGCAAGAGAUAGAGAAAGAAGAAAAACGGAAAAGGAUACGAAAUCGAACGACGCGACGUACCUUUUUUGGCGCGGUUAUUACGGCGAAGGCGAAGCGUCGCCUGCUCCUCCUGCCAGAAGCGCCGUCUGUCCCGCCGCGGAGUUAAUGCGACGGGGCGAGUUGUUGGCAGGGCGGCCGUUGCGCGUGCGUGAGCCGUUCGAGGAACGGCUGUUUCGCUUCGCGUUUUUUGAAUUCCGCAUCCGGUCCGGGCGGAACGUUGGAAACGGUAUCGCCUUGGUCUUUAUAUACCUGGGAGAGGGUCUGGUGACGGUUCUUCGCUCCGCUUCCUGCCUCCUUCUUAGGUUUUCGCAACCCGAGAGACUUUAGCCAGAGAAGAGAAAACCGCCCUUCCUGCCCCUUGCGUCGCCAUCCCUUCCGUUUGGUGAUGGCUGACCGAGUGACCAUCAUCUCGUCGCGCGAUCCAUGGCCCUUCUCUACGGUGACGGCGAGCGAUCUAGAGGAUCUGGUCGGCGAGGGUUUGCUUCGCCCUCUCACCGAUGAGCAGCGACCAUAAUGGAUUCCUCCCGCGGGCGGAGCCGCUCCAUCCCCACCGCCGGGGUACGUCGUGAGCUUCGUCUCCUUCCACGAGCGGGGAUUCGGUGUGCCGGCGGGCCGCUUUAUGCGGGCGAUCCUGUACCACUAUGGGGUGGAGUUGCACAACCUCACCCCCAACUCCAUCUCGCAGACCGCUAUCUUCGUAGCGGUGUGCGAGGGGUAUUUGGGGAUCGCCCCCCAUUGGGAUUUGUGGACCCAUCUCUUUUUCGCCGAGCUUUUUGCCUCGCCGACGGGGGAGAGGAAGGUCCGCGCAGCGGUGCGGGCCGGCGGCUGCACCCUCCUGUUGAGGCAGUCGCGGGCGUCGCAGUAUAUUCCUGCCAUCCUCGCAUCCUCGAACAAGGGGUGGCAGCGCCGGUGGUUCUACCUCCGGAACGACGGCGAGUUGCUCCCGCCGUUCUCCCAGUGAGUAGUCACCACCGCCACCGACGUCUGGCGUCACGGGACCCCGCACGAAAGACAGAAGAACCUCGGACCCCUUCUCCAGGCCUUGGAGGCGUUGCGGGAGGGGGGACUCACCGCUGCGGGGGUGAUUGCCGCCAUCCACCGUCGGAGGGUGCUUCCCUUGGCGGAGCGACGACUGUUGCUUUGGGAGAUGACCCCGGGGGCUGACUGGGAGGGCUCGCGGAUGUCCCCUGAUCCUCUUCCCUUCGACGCCCUCCAAUGGCGGGUGUCCGCUGCGUUGGGGAAGCCGGACCCCCACGCCUUCUCCCAGCUUCGGAUGCGCCCCGACCAGGGGUGCUUGACUCUGGUGAGUGUUCGCUCCUUCCUUCUUCAUACAUUGGGUUGCUCCUGGUUCUUACGAUCGGGCUUCUUUCCCCCCCUUCUUCAGGAGGUGGGGUGGCACAAGCCUUCCCGGCCACGAGUCCCGCAGGAUGCGGUGGACCGAGCAGCGCGGCGGGUCGCCGCGGAGGAGAAGAAGAGGAAGAAGGACGCGGAGAAGGCCCGGGCCCGUGAGCGGAGGCGGGCUCGAGACGCCUUGGAAAAGCGCCGUCGCCAGCAGGAGAGGGAGGGACUCCCGAGGGAGCCGCCGCCGAAAACGCCCGACGACGACGACGACGACGAUGAUGAGGAGGACGACAUGGCCGCCCGUCUCGGCCUCAGCCCCGUCUUGGGGUGUGGCCGGGAGCCGUCGAGCCAGCCCCCGAGCGGGCCGACGCCGUCAGUCCCCGGAGUCGGGGCGUCGGGGUCCCGGUCCGAGGCACGGGGGCAACCCGAGAGGACACCUGACCCCUCGGCCGGAGGAGCUGAGGUGACUCCGGGGGGCCAGGUCAGGGCGUCUGCUCCCCAAGAGCCGCCGCUCGUGCCGGCAGCGCAUGGAGGUGACCCUCAAGUCAUCGUGACAGCGCCCGGGCAAUCUGCUCCCCGGGUGUCCAAAGCAAGGGUGGCGCCGAAGUUGCCGGCGAAGCGGACCUCGGCGGCUGUUCCGGGAGCGGGGAUCAAGAAACUUCCCCCCAGGCGCGGUGGAUCAUGGCCCGGAGCGGGUAGGUAUCUCGGAAUGUCUUCGUCCUGGCUUUCCAUUCAUAUGUCUCGGCCGUGAUUUUCCUUUUUCCCUCAGCAAGCGAAGCCAUGGCCAGACCGACCUGGCACCCCGGAAGGCCCUUAAGACGGCGCCGGCCUGUGCGGCCAGCGCCGCUCCGGGCCUUGUCGUUCAGCCGACCCUCUCGCAGGGCGUUUCACCGCAGGGGGCUCGGGCGGCACCUGUCGCUGUGGAGCAGGUUCCCGAGGCCGGCUCUUCUGCCGAGGCGGCCAUCGUGAUAGGGGAGGCGGCUGACGCUGACGUGGUCCCGAGCCCACCUGACGUGCCGGCCAUGCUGGCGCCUGCCGCUACCCGAAGUCGCCGCUGUCCCAGUCGGAGAGCGACCGGUUGCUGCCGGCGUCGAGACGGCUGAUGCGUCGGCGCCCAGUGCCUCGGAAGAGGUGGGCGUGGAGGCGUGAUCCGUCCAGCCGGGCGGCAACCUCAUCGCUGUGCGGCGGAGCCCCGGGGCCCGUCGCCAGUUGCUCCGGUUUUGGACCCGCGAGGCCUCGGACCCUGUCUUCAUUCUCGACGAUGAACAGGAGGACCAGUCCUGGGAUGAGCUCCGCGAGUGUGCUGAAGCAACGGUGGGGUCGCUCCGGUCGUCGCUGGAGGUUUUCUGCAGGGACGUCCCCAAAAUCCUCCAGGUAAUGGUUUCAGGCAUACCUUUUCUUUUCUGUGAACGAGGCGUUCUUCGUGACGCCCCGUUUCCUUCCCCCAGGAUCUGACGGAUCGGAGCGCCGCCAAGUCGUCGUUCAUCCGCCGCGAGGUUGAUGUCUGGGGCUCGCUGCGAUCCCUGAGGACCUCGCUCGCCGGGGCUACUGCGCGCCUUUCUCAAUAGGGUGCCAAGGUAAGCGGACCUCCAGUUGCUCUGCACUGACCUGAGAGCCGAGGCGGCAGCAGCGCGCGCGGAGGCGGCAGCGGCGCGCGCAGAGGCGCAACGGCAGCGGUCGGAGUUCGUCCAGGUCGUCGAGGAGCGGGACCAAUCUCGGGGCCGGGCUGUUGAGGCCGAAAGCCGGGCUGAAACCCUCGCAGCCGACUUAGCCGCAGCCCAGGUCGCGGCCUCGGAGCAGCGUGCCCGGGCCGGAGGUACGCCUUGGCCGUCCUGGUUCUUGUUCUUGUCAGUUUCCUCUGCUUGUGUUUGAGAUCUUUCUUCUGACUGUUCGUAGAGCUCGAGUCCGCCCUUGACGAGUCCGCCAAGGCGCUUGCCGAGGCGCUUGCCGGAGCUGCGAGUAGAGGGAGGCUGACCUCGCGGCCAUGUCUGAGGCCGUCUUGACGUUUAUCGAUCCUUGGCUCCGGCGACGUCCCUUCAGGAAGCUCCCCUCAAAGCCGCCUUCAAGCCUUGGGUGAUCACGCGCGCGGCAGAGUCCGCGAGGCGCUACACCACGGCGUCAGGCGGGCCUUCGCCGUGCUCGCUUCCCACUACGUUGUGGACCUGGAGUGGGUUAGUGAGGGGUAUUGUCUUCCUGACGAAGACGAAGCUGCCCUGGCAGAAGUUUAGCGGCUCGACGUGGUCGCCGCGGGUCCGAGCGCAGUGUUGGCGACCACCUUUGAGGCGGAGAUCCUUCCCCCUGCGCCGUCACCGGAAGCCGAGAUGGACCUUACUGAAGGCGGGGACGGAGCUAAAGGCGCGGCUCCUUCCAAGGCGGCGCCUAACUCUUGUUGGAACAGUUUCUGUUGGAUGUGCGUGUGUCUUACUGCGGCCGCUGAGGCCUGAACACUUUGUUUUCAUUGCAUGAAGUCGUACUCUUCUUCCUUUUAUUUUGCGUGUCCGGCUUAGCCUGUCAUAAUAGGGUGGCUUCCGAGUUGGGUCAUUUUUCGUGGCGGGUGAUGAGUGAGGUGUCCUAACCCGGAGGCAUAGGAGUUCCUCGGCUCAGUCGGCCUCGCCACUUACAUGCACCACGUUCGCUCCUUGGGGCCCUGCUUCUGACAUAGCCGGGAGAACGCAAAAGCCUUUUUUGAUCGAAAAUUUUGGAUGCGGAGAGGUACACCCAAUCUUGACGCAGAGGGGUUCCCCCUUCUUAGCCCCGAGGGAGGGUCGGGCUCUGCCGAGGCGAGGCCGACCCUUCCUUGACGACUGAGACUUGUGUGGGAGCGAGGUAUACGAACAGCUUGAAACAUCUUAAGGGUAGAAGCAACGUAGCUGUCGGACGUUCCAAGCGUUGCCGUAGACCUCGCUUGACCGCGGCCAGCUUAUACGUUCCGGGCUCCAGAACGUCGGCGGUGACAAGCGGCCUCUCCCGGGGGUGCGUGCAGCCCCGGGUACCCCCAGCAAGGGCUCGGGGUGCUGUGCGAUGGUCGGGGUCUUCUCCUGGUUGGCUUUGAUGCCCCAUUUGGAGAUAAUGAACUCCAAGACCAUGCCCUGGGGCGCCCCGAGGACCCACCUUUCAGGGUUGAGCUUGACGCUUUUCGCUUCUUUUAGCCUGUGGAUCUCCUCGCCUAUCACUCUGCGCUUCUCCUUGUCGAAUCGGCGCAGAGGCUGCUUGACGGGUCGGGCUCCGGCCCGAAUAUCCAGCGAGUGCUCGGCGACAUCCCUUGGUAUGCCGGGCAGGUCCGAGGGACUCCUCGCGAAGACGUCGGCGUUCGUGCGGAGAAAGUCGACGAACACUGCUUUCUAUUUGGGGUCGAGCCCGGAACCGAUCCGGAUCUGCUUGGAGGCGUCGCCACUGGGGUCGAGGGGGACGGCCUUGACCGUCUCCACUGGCUCGAAGUUGCCGGCAUGGCGCUUCACGUCGGGCACCUCUUUGGAGAGGCUUUCCAGGUCGGCGAUGAGGGCCUCGGACUCGGCGAGGGCCUCGGCGUACUCCACGCACUCCACGUCGCAUUCAAACGCGUGUUUGUACGUGGGGCCGACGGUGAUGACCCCGUUGGGGCCGGCAUCUUGAGCUUCAGGUAGGUGUAGUUGGGGACGGCCAUGAACUUCGCGUAGCAUGCCUCCCAGUACCGCGUGGUAGGUUCCUCGAACCCGACCACCUCGAACGUCAGAGUUCCCUUCGGAAGUUAGAGGGCGUUUCCGAAGCAGACGGGAAGGUCGAGUCGUCCGAGGGGCUGGACGCGCUUCCCGGGAAUGAUACCGUGGAAGGGCGCAGCGCCAGCUCGGACGGAGGACAGAUCGACGCGCAGGAGCCUGAGGGUCUCGGCGUAGAUGAUGUUGAGCAGCUGCCCCCGUCCAUAAGGACCUUGGUGAGCCUGACGUCGCCGACGAUGGGGUCCUGACGAGUGGGUAUUUCCCGGGCUCGGCACGUGGUCGGGUGGUCAGCUUGGUCGAGGUGAUGGGCUUGUCGGACCAGUCUAGGUAGACUGGCGCCGCCACCUUCACCGAGCAGACCUCCCGGCGCUCUUGCUUGCGAUGCCGAGCCGAGGCAUUCGCCGCAUGCCCACCGUAGAUCAUGAAGCAGUCGCGGACCUCGGGGAACUCUCCUGCUUGCUCUUGUCGUCGGGGCCCUGCCACCCUCCGCGGGUGGCCCGGCCCUGUGGAAGUGGCGCCGAAGCAUGACGCACUCCUCAAGGGUGUGCUUGACGGGCCCCUGAUGAUAGGGGCACGCUCCUUGAGCAUCUUGUCGAAGAGGUUGGCACCUCCGGGGGGCUUCCGAGGGUUCUUGUACUCGGCGGCGGCGACAAGGUCCGCGUCGGCGGCGUCGCGUUUCGCUUGCGACUUCUUCUUGCCUUUCUUCUUGGCGCCGCGCGGAGUAGACGCCUCGGGAGCAUCUUCCGAUGGGCGGCCCUGGGGCUGCUUGUCCUUUCGGAAGAUAGCCUCGACCGCCUCCUGGCCAGAGGCGAACUUGGUGGCGAUGUCCAUCAGCUCGCUCGCCCUGGUGGGGGUCUUGCGACCCAACUUACUCACCAGGUCGCGGCAGGUGGUGCCGGCAAGGAACGCGCCGAUGACAUCCGAGUCGGUGAUGUUGGGCAGCUCGGUGCGCUGCUUCGAGAAUCGCCGGAUGUAGUCCCGGAGAGACUCUCCCGCUGCUGCCGGCAGCUUCGGAGGUCCCAGGAAUUCCCGGGGCGCACGUACGUGCCCUGGAAAUUGCCGGCGAAGGCUUGGACCAGGUCAUCCCAGUUGGAGAUCUGCCCCGGAGGCAGGUGCUCCAACCAGGCGCGAGCGGUGUCGGAGAGGAACAGGGGGAGGUUGCGGAUGAUGAGGUUGUCGUCGUCCGUUCCACCCAGUUGGCAGGCCAGGCGGUAGUCCGCGAGCCACAGUUCCGGUCUCGUUUCCCCCCGAGUACUUUGUGAUAGUAGUCGGGGGUCGGAACCGGGUCGGGAACGGUGCCCGUCGGAUGGCCCGGCUGAAGGCCUGCGGACCGGGUGGUUCGGGCGAGGGACUCCGAUCCUCCCCGCUGUCGUAGCGUCCCCCCGCCUGGGUGGUAACCUCGGCGCACCCUCUCGUCGAGGUGGGCCCGACGGUCGCGAUGAUGGUGCUCGUUGCCGAGGUGCCGGGGCCGCAGGCGCGGUGUUGCGCGUGCGCCCGGUGUAGACCGAGGCUUCCCCAUGAAUCGGAAGUCGCGCUGAGGUUCCGAGGGUUCCUGCCUUCGGGAGGCAGAGCUCUCGGCCCGUCGGACCGCAGCGCCUUCCAGGAGAUUCUUGAGCUCUCCCUGGAUUCGCCGACCCUCGGUGGUUGAUGGCUCCGCCAUCGCGCGGAGAAGCAUCGCUGCUGCAGCCAGGUUCUGACCGACCCACUGGAUGCGGGUGGGCCUAGCCUGACGCCGUCGGCGACGGGUGCUGGAACCCUGGCAGGGUGACGUAUUUCUCCGGCGGGGUUGGCCCGCCCAUGCCUGCCCGACGUCCCGGCGGAUCGGCCUCAAGCGCUCCUGCUCCUCGUCGAGCCUGGCCUGCGCCCCCGGACUUGCUCGAGCUGAUGGGUCGUGACCCCCGCCGGAACGGGGACCACAGCUAGCUCCCGCGGGAUGUCAGCGCGAGGCACCGCCUAGGGAGAUCACCGUCCUCCGGCAUGCAGAUGAUUGCCUUCGGGAUCCCCUAGCUCGACGUGGAACAUUCGCGGCUUGGGCCGCAGUCCUCGUCGUCGAGGCUGCGGCUACCGUCGGAACAGUCGGAGAGGCAGUAGUCACAUGCGGUCAUGAAGUCCCGCAUGGCACUGGGUUGCCAAAUCCAGAGAAUCCACAACAGAUGUUGGGUCGUCAUCUUCCUCGGACCCAGAGGGCCCGUAGGUCGAGACGUCCGUCACGGUCCCAGGCGACCGCAUGCGAAACCCAGAGGGGUUGAACUCGCCUCUACGAGAGCGCCCGCCNNNNNNNNNNNNNNNNNNNNNNNNNNNNNNNNNNNNNNNNNNNNNNNNNNNNNNNNNNNNNNNNNNNNNNNNNNNNNNNNNNNNNNNNNNNNNNNNNNNNAUAUAACAUAAAUAUUGAUAUUUGUUCAUACAUUUGCUUAAAUUGAAAACAUUUGAUUUUUUAAGAGAUGAAAUUGACAUCACACCCGAACAGUACAGUACAAUUUCACAAAUUGUCACCCUGACACCUUUCCAAGAUCUGCGCCCUUCCUACCCUGUAUGGUCCACUUUGUCGCUUUCCGCUGAACUUGUGAAAAAGUUCGGUGCUCCCCAGUUCCCACACUAGCCGGCUUUCGCUUUGAACUAUGGUCACGGCCCUUUUUCUUCUCGCAGCAGUAUCUGAUACAAAGCUGACAGACUUUUGCUGUGUAGGUUCUCCUUGUCGUUGUCGUUUAGGAAUAAAAAUGCUGAGAAAGUGUUAUUUUAUGUGAGACUUCCCAUAAAUUACUUGUGACUUCAGUAAGCAGCAUCAGGAUUACUGGUCACUUCCUUUUUUUGUUUGGUAAACUAAAAGUGAGGGCUUGUUUAGAAACGGUUUAUAAUACCAUAGUUUACCGAAACCAUGACACAACAAUGAUAUAUUCCACAUCAGUAUAAUUUAACAAUUGUUUGAAGACAUAUAUUUUGGUUGCAGCUUAGGGUUAGGGUUAGGGAAGAGAAAAGGCAAAACUUAAGUCACAUGCCACUUUGGUCUAGACAAACAAAAAAUUAAAACCCCAAAAAAUUGUGGUAUUGGAAAUCAUGCCAUCAUGGUUCAAAAUACGGAGCUUCUAGAUGUGUCUCAAUCAGCUUUUAGCUUAAAAUAUCAUAGUAUAUUUAAAUACUAAGUAAUUUUGAAACUAAGAAAAUACUAUAUUCCCAAACAGAGCUCUGGUACUCGACCUUAACAGCCAAACGCAGAAUGUAUUUGGAAAGCUCUGAUCCGAAAACAGUGGCGUUCAUCACUACAGAAACAAUUAUUUUCAAAGCGAAAACCUUUAAAAAUACUAUACCAUAUUCCUACACCCACCGAUCCGGAAAAACAGCUGCUAAAUUUAGACCUGUGUUGUAUGUUACUAGUCACACUUUGCUAAUUUUACCUUAGACAAGUUAUAAAUUUGGUAAAUAUUAGUUGGCAAUUGAAUUUAGGCAGGAAUAAUUUAGGCUCCACGUCUCAUAAAAAUAAAAAAGGUGGCAAGGUUACAUUAGGACAGCAAAGUGGGCUUUAAAAUUCUUUGCCACAUUUUCUAGGUUGCUACACUUGUCAAACUUAUGUGGCGAACUCCGAACAGUGUUUUGUUCUAUAGAUUACAGCUGCAGCAGUCCGAACAGCAGGCUUAAUCCGAAGCGAACAUGUGCUAACUCGUCUAUUAGUACUUGGAUAGCUGUGUUCUAAAUAUUGAUUUAGAUUAUUUUAAUAUAUGCUUCAAAUAAUUAAUAUUUUUUUUAUUCGUGUGUUAGGUUCUAUCUCUAGACUUGAAAUAAAUUAUGAAGAAUAAUCAUAUUGCUUUACAAAUAAUGUAUCUACUUUUCCGUUACGUCGCUAACUUUUGAACUACAUUUUUUUAGUGUGUUUUUAAUACAAAUCGGACUAGUGCUUUAACCAAUCCUAGUUUGGCCACUGCCCCACAACGUUUUCAGGUGCACUCUUUAAGAGAGGGUUUUCCACUGCCAUUCCCACGUUUCAAGGGCGAGGAACAUGGUACUGUACCAUGUUUCCAGGACACGGAACGUGGCACGUUCCCGGGCACUGCUCUAGACAUGCUAUUUGAAAAAAAAAAACAGAACAGAAUGGCAGCAGCAGUAGUACUCACACUGGCUCUGAGGAGGGACACCGAGUUCCCGUGCUCCUGCCCUUGGCGAGUUGGCCAUCUCUGCAUCGGGCCUCCGUUGCUGAGGAUUCCCACUCCGCACGCAGCUCCGUCACGGAGGAAGUUGAAGAGCUUCUCCGAGCCACGGCACCCACACCGAUGUGGCUGCGCUUAGGACCACGCCGCGCGGCUCCCCAGGCUCGUCCACGCUUUUCCGUGCCAUGACCCGCACAUCCUCCCCGAUGCUGCCUGCAGCGCCGUCCAGCUUACUCCAUUCACGUGCAGAUGACGCGCUGACCCGGCGCAGAAGUUCUCCGUCAUCCGCCGUCCAGCUUCAGCAUGCUUCGCUUGCCCUCCUGUGUUAACUGCACCGAAAGCCAUGCAUGCAUGCAUGCCUCAAGUUAAAGCUAGCUAGCACCUAUGUACGUACUGAUCCAUAGACAUUUUCAAGUUUGGUGAAAAGUAUUUAUUUAGUAUUCCUUGAUCGCUUUCAUGCAUGGAGAACAAUGCACGUAUCAAACUAGAAACAAAAAAAAAUCGUUUGCACUGACUAUAUAUGUAGGCACAGUCCAUUACAGGCUGUACAUGGAAAAUAGCAACAAAAAAGUUCAGACUUUGCUGUACCUGACGAGUCAUUAGCUGAAACUGUAUCAGGGGACAUGAGUAUGGCCAGGCAUUCGCACUGGCGCUGCAGCAUUGCAAGCCACCGCCUGGCCCCAAAGGCCAGCCCGGACCGGAUGAGUGGUCUAUAGAGCUGGUGUACUGACGCCUCGUCGUAUUCCGUAUACUCUACCCAUGUGACCUACAGGGUAAAUGCAUCCGUUAGUCCAUAAAUCAUCAGGUCCACAUGUAAUUGUCCGGUCGCAAGGGGCCUCUGCGGCGCAGUACAGCACUUAUGUGGGAACACUGUAGUCUGUAGUCAUCGCAGUCCUCUUUAACUUGUUAAAAAAACAUUUUUUUCAACGGUGGGUGAUUGGUAUAAAGAGGUAAGUAAAAAACAGGAUCCGAGACCAUAUGUGCAUAUCACAAAGUGAUAUCAUAAACCAAGAUUUCAUUGCGCAUGGAUCAGGUAACAAGUCAGCAUAAAUCUGGCAGGCGUUUGCACACUGUCCCAACCCUUAGCUUUCAUAUGACAAUACAAACCAGUCCUGAAAGCUCCCACUAGACUCAUCAAAUAACUCGUAGGUUCAUAAACUGAUGUGCAUCAUAAAGAAGGAAUGCAAUUAAUUUAUUUCAUUCUGUUUCGCAAAGUUCUUGGAUUUUAGGCAAUAUCAUUUCAAAAACAAAAAUCAGUCGCUUCCUUUCAGCAUUGUGUUUGGCAUAUAAAGAUAUGCUAUUCAUCAGUGGUCCAGAUCAAGAUCAUGUCAAGACUUGUGCAAAGCCCGAGGACACAAAUACUGGCACUUUUAGCCCUGAUGCACGAGCCCCUGGUCCAAAGUUCAACAUACAGGCAGGGACAGAUUGAUUAAAUUGCGGACAGGUUACCCAAGGUGCUCCAACCGAGGGGGAAGCAUCUAAUCCCCUAAGAAAAGCCAGUGCUGCGGCUAGAAAAAAAAACCACAAGGAAACAUGCUUGGGAAUGGUGUUGGAUCCAUGAAACACUGAUUAUUCCUAAACAAAUCUUUUAGCCUCCUCCUCGUUGACCAAGCAGCUUUGUUUAUUUGGGUUGUGGCUCAUGACCCUAAUUAAACUAUUAGCCCUUGACUUGUGAACACGAUGCUGCAUGGGCAUCACCCAAAUCACACCAUUAGAUUAGUAGGCAGGCGCUAUAAAAAAAUGUUACACGUAGUCCCAGGCUCUGAUAGUGAGGCCGGUGUGGAGGUAGUAGUGGAGUAGAGGUGGAAUUCAUGGUUAGUACUAAGCUCAUCAGGGAGGAUAGAUCCGCCACCGUGUUACUUGAUGUAAAAGUUCAGAAACUUUACAGAGUGACAGUCACGUCAACUCGAUUAGGCCCACACGACUGCUAGUAUGAAGUAGGUGGUCCAAAGAGUACCAUUUUACACUACCCCACUCGACAUGCGAACACUACAGACAGAAACGAAUAAAUGGAUUUUGGUUGCUAGUACCUUGCAGUAGCCAUUGGGAUGCCUGCAUCACACAGCCAGAAGGCAACCUCCUGCACCGUAUAUUUCCGGCGUUGGAUGCUGUUCCAGAGUUGUGAUCUCUCACCAAUCCGUCAAUGGACACAUCACUACUGCCACAGCCCUCAGCCAGCUGCUUGCAAAACCUGAGAAAUUGACCUCCCUGAUGGGCAUAGAGGUGAGACACCUGUAGCUCAGCCUUCAUCUGUUGCACCCAAGCAAAAUGCAGAUUUUGAGUUUACAAAGUAUUCAGAACACUGCAGUCAGUGGCCACUAUAAAAUACAUGUGCAUAUAUGAUCAAGCCCAUGGAAAGGAGCUGUUUGGCACUCAUCUCACCAGCAGCACGCACCAUUCCUACUUCCUGCAAUGCCAGAUGUCACCUCCUCUAGGACUGUGGCCUUAGCAAUCAUGCACGAGAACAUAUCAGACCACCGUCCUGCGACAUGGAUGGAGAGGAAGAUCAGCAAAAAAAAAAAGUCAUGGAGCAACAAUGGUACCAAGCGAAAUUGCAAAAACAUGCAUGAACAGGAUACAAACCACGUCCAUAAGGGUCUCUACAAGAGCAAGGCUGUUGUCAAUGAUGACGAGGCCAGACUCCCUAGAGGCCUCGGAUACAUAGCCCACAGGCUUCACGGCGCCGACGGACGGAGAGAACGAGUGGGCAUACUCCUCAAAGUUGAGCAGCUUCUUGUCGGGAGAGCCACUGAGGCUGGGAAGCCACAAGGGCUCGUCAACCUGUGCCAGCUUAACUAGUUCAUCCAUGGCGCUGAUCGCAAGCUCCAGCAGCAUGGACCUGUCGACGCCCACCAUAGGCGGCGGAGCAGAUCCGGUCGCCCGUGCAGGCGUGAUCACCGUGCCCAACGGGCUAGACACACCGCCAGCAAACUCGUCCAAGGAAGGGAUAGACCCUAGGCCACGGAGGCCGCCUACUGCCAGCUCCAGCGACGAGCUCGGCAUGGGCAGCGACAGGUUCGGCUGCAGCAUGGGCCCCGAGAGGACGGGCAUGGGCUUGCCGAGGAACUUGGUGGCGAGGCGUAGACGCGGUUGAGCUCGUCCUUGAGCCGCGCAUUCUCGAUGCACAGGUGCUGCUCCUCCAGGGACACCUCCCCGAGCAUGGCGGGGCUCCCGCAGCUGCCGCACAUCGGGCUGCGCAUCGCCUCCCGGAUCGCCAUGUUCUCGGCCCGCAGCUUGUCGUUCUCUUGCUU
RNAcentral lists this long non-coding RNA (19958 nucleotides) under Zea mays. Its description in RNAcentral is "long non-coding RNA (ZMAY_LNC001489)". The record is from RNAcentral. Lineage: Eukaryota; Viridiplantae; Streptophyta; Magnoliopsida; Poales; Poaceae.